RNAcentral lists this long non-coding RNA (3827 nucleotides) under Homo sapiens (human). RNAcentral describes it as "HSALNT0006292". Lineage: Eukaryota; Metazoa; Chordata; Mammalia; Primates; Hominidae. The record is from RNAcentral.
CUCACCUCCACCCAUGGCCACCCAGGCCCACAGACGAUACUCCACCCCCAGCCCCACUCUGCUUCCUCUUGUCUCUCAUGCUGCUGAGUCCCCACCCCACCCCAGUCACCAUCCCUUGCCCUGGGACUCCAUUCUUUGUUAAGAUCUCCUCCCUUUCUGGGCCUCAGUUGCCUCAUCUGUAAAAUGGGAAUAACAAUGCCUUUCUAUGCCCAUCAUCCUGGAGCUGGAGAAGCAAUGCCAGGACUCAGAGGGUAGACCUCAGUCUCCUCAAGUCUCAGAAUUCUUCAUUGGACCAUGGGGGUCAUCUUAACUCCAGAGGAGUUGUCAGUAGUUGUGGCCGAUUUUGUGGGUGAUGUUAAAGGAAACAAGACUCCCAGGCAUCCCAAUAUAUAUACACACCCAGCCAUCUCCCAAGGAAGCUGGUAUAUCAAGUAGUCAAGAGGUAGAAUCCUCCAAGCCCAGGUGCAGGAGAAGGUUGAGUCCUAAAUAUGAGGGGUGCUCUGUCCCAAGCAUACAGCUGAGGAGGUCUGAGCCAGGCCCUAGUCCUCUAGCCCAGGCUCUGGCAAUACAGGUGGCUUCCAGCUCUUAGAGACCUUACCCCCUACUCCCAGCAACAUGGGGCCUGACUGAACAGUUGUCCAAGUUUCCCUGACUGGAAAGCAAAAGAGGUUACUCCCUACUCCACAUCCCUGCCCACUUCUCCCGAUCAGCCUUCCACAGGGGGCCCCCUCUCCUCCCCUCUCUUUACUUCCCUCUCCUGCUCCAUAGCACUCUGGAAAACUUUCUUUGAUUAACCUCUCCCAGCCAAGAGCAUUCAAAGAGGCUGUAUAGUGCAGUGGUUGAAAGCACCAGCUUUGGGGCCAGAAAAGCCCCAAAUCACAGCUCUGCCCUUUGGCUGGGUGAUCUUGGGCUCUUCAUUUAAUGUCUCUGAGCCUUAUUUCCUCAUCCUCAUCUGGCAAAUGAAGCCAUAAAUGCCUGGGUCUAGGAUUGUGUGACGAUCACAUGAAGUCAUGAAUGCAAAGUGACUGGCAUAGAGGAGAUGCUCAGCAAAUGCCAGCUGCCAUCUCCCCCCAACCCCAUGCUACAUCUAACUGUGUCUCAGUUUUCUGCUGCACUUAGAGGAUAAGGAUGAGAGCUGAGGGUGGGGAGAGAAGGAAGAGCAGCAGCAGUAGCAGCUUCAGGAGGCUCCUGAUCACUUAGAAGAGAUGAAGGCUGAGCUACAGUAGGAGAGACUCAGGUUAACCCUGAGAGGGACUUCCCAUACUGAGACCCUGGAGGAAGCCACAUUUCAAAGGCCCCGCGUAAGUUCAGUCUGUUCCCAGGACCAUAUCCUUAUCCUAGAGGCAGCUCCGAGGAGGCAGCAGCUGCCCUGUCUGGGGAGCAGUGGGGGAGGUGAAGAGUUCACUGGGCUCCGGGGCUGUGGGCUGCAGGCCUCCCACCCAGCCCUGGUGCCCUGGCCUGGCCCACUGUGGCCACAUAAAAGGUGACGGAUGGUUAAUAGGGGAGAUAACAGGAUUCAUAAGGGAAAUUUAUCGGUCACUCUGGUGGUAUAAAUAUGUUUAUAGCGGACCAAGGGGAAAUGAAGAAGCCCCAAUAAAUCACCAUGAAGCCACCAGCCACUAAUAGGCAAGCAGCAGUGGGAACCCCAGUGUUGGCGAUUGCAGACACCCCCUCUGGCUGCCCGCUAAUGGCAUGGCGGGGCUGGAGACUCAUCAAGCUGGACAGACGCCCACCCCACGCCAUGGCAGGAACAAGACCCCAGGGGCCACCUCUGCUGGACCUGAGCUGCCCUGCCUGCUGUGCAGCCCCCACUUCCCCCAGUCUGGACUCAGCCAGGCUGGAAGGGCUGAGGGAACAGGGCAGGGGGUAUAUGGACCAGGUCUAGGAGGCUUCAUGGUGCACAGGUUAAAGAGACUCUGGAGUAAGAACUGGCUUCAAAACUUUAUCUGCCAUUUCCCAAUCCCUGCCUGUCUUAGAAUUUCCUUGUUUGCAAAAUGACUUAGCAAUCUUAGAAAGAAGCUGUUGUGAAGAGUAGAGAGAUAAUCCAUUAUCAUAGUGCUUGGUAUUUUGUAGCCUCAAAAAUGGCACCUCAGCCUCCUGAGUAGCUGGGACCACAGGCAUGAACCACCACGCCCAGCUAGUUUUUUUUAUAGAGACAAAGUCUGUUGCUCCUGAGCUCAAAAGUGCCAGGAUUACAGGCGUGAGGCACCUCCCCUGGCCAGCAACAUUUCAUAGAUGAGGAACCUGAGGCUCAGAAGUUGAGGCUUGCCUGGGAUCCCACAGCUAGAAGAGAAAGGCUCUGUUUGAUUCCCAAGAUGAGAAUCUUCUCACUGCCCCAGUGUAGGCCCCAUUCCUUCCUCAAAGUCACUGGGGGUUCCCUGAACCUCUUCCCCCAGAAGAGACCUAGGAUUUCAGGGGCCGUGAAGCAUUCAAAUCAAAGCCCCGGGGCUCUUGCGGUGACUUGCUGGUGCUGAUGACAACUCUCCAUCUACCCCUUCCCUCCCUGCCCCUGCUACUUCCUGUACCCGUCUCCCCAAGCAAGGGCUGGACUCAGCUUCUGUGACCUCACCCCAGUACUGUGGUUGCCUAAAGCCUUCCAUCUGAUCUGUAUGGGAGGCCCAUAUCUGGGCUCACCAGCCCUGCCAUCUUUGUCACAGCCUCUGUCCAGGCCAAUGUGUCCUCCAGCUCAGCUUACUCCUUCAUUCAUUUUUUCAGGAAACAUUCAAGGACCUUCUUCCAAGGGCACAAUACUGAGCAACAUGGACAAGGUCUGGCCCUAUGCUGGACAGACGUGAUCUUCAGCCCCAAGUUACAGACGCUUAGAGAAGCUGGAGACUUGCACAAUGUCUCAGAGGAAAGAGAGCCAGAACCUGGACCCGUGUUGUACCCCAACCAAACCCUCCAUGGUGGAAGGAAUAGGAGUGGGAAGGGGAGGAGGAGACAUAUGGUCCAGGAGGUUCCAUAUGUACCCACACAUGGACCUCAAAGAGGCCCCCACAGCAAGACAGCAAAUGACAUCCACAGUCACAGAUCACGGAGUGAUUUCAGAUGAAGAUGGUGCUGGCAGUUUCCCCAUCAGCGCAAUGGAGUUUGAGCAAAGGAUCUCACUGGAGAAGUCGCAGCGACAGUGGAUCUAAGAGCAGAGGGCAAGGGCUGCCUGAGCCUUGUGAAGCUCAAUUCUGCCCCCUGGUGCCCAGAAUGCCGCGCCAGCAAUGGGAUGCAGGAAGAAGAGGCAGGAGACACCUGAGGUCUCUUACCUUUUCCAAGCUACUCAGACCUCCCUCUUACAGGGCAGGGAACACAGGGCACCAGCCCUACUAACCCAAUCUGAGGGGAAACUCUGAGGCUCCCUCUCCUGCAGAGAUCUCAGACUCUGUGGUAGAGUUGGUGUGGGGGGACACGUGACGUCAGCAAUAGCCCUGUCCAUCCAGCACCUGGACACCCCGAGUGGUUCCUUCUAUGGGAGGCAGAGGCAGGGCUGCCCCCUCUGCUGUGCAAUUCCUGGGGUCUUCAUCUGAGUUAAAUUCUUUUAAGUCAGGAUUUUUCUGGCUGAAAUUUCACAUUUGUGUUCAGUGGGAGUACUCAAAAAAUGUAGCAUGCAUGGAUGAAUUCCAUCCCUUUGCAUUGUCUUCAGAAGAUCUGUCCUAUGAAGCACAGGGAAAAGUGAGUUCGUUAAUUUGCAUAGUUGGCGGAAGUAGGGCUACAAAGAGGAAUGGGAUGGGGGAAGGGAGAGAUUUGAUGGGAGGAGGAUCUCAAGAGAGUUCAGAUGAAGGGAAAAUAAUGGGGGGGGUAUGUUGGAGGGAUCAAGAAAGGCUUUCUGGAGGAAG